AUUGCUUCUCGGUCUUUAGGCUAAGAUCAAGUGUAGUAUCUGUUCUUAUCAGUUGAAUAUCUGAUAUAUCCUCUAUCUGAAGACAAUAUAUUAAAUGGAUUUUUGGAGCAAGAAGAUGGAAUAGGAGCUUGUUCCAUCUACUCUAUGCAUCAACCUGGUAUUGCAGUACUUCCAGGAGUGGUGCACCCCUC
Dasypus novemcinctus (nine-banded armadillo) is the source of this 191-nucleotide small nuclear RNA. Its record names the gene U2. It matches the Rfam family "U2 spliceosomal RNA". Rfam says of the family: U2 is a small nuclear RNA (snRNA) component of the spliceosome (involved in pre-mRNA splicing). Complementary binding between U2 snRNA (in an area lying towards the 5' end but 3' to hairpin I) and the branchpoint sequence (BPS) of the intron results the bulging out of an unpaired adenosine, on the BPS, which initiates a nucleophilic attack at the intronic 5' splice site, thus starting the first of two transesterification reactions that mediate splicing. Lineage: Eukaryota; Metazoa; Chordata; Mammalia; Cingulata; Dasypodidae. The record is from Ensembl.